RNAcentral lists this ribosomal RNA (830 nucleotides) under uncultured bacterium. Its description in RNAcentral is "SSU rRNA". It matches the Rfam family "Bacterial small subunit ribosomal RNA", at positions 60 to 896 of the family's 1533-position model. The record is from RNAcentral.
AGUCGAGGGGUAUAAGUCUUCGGAUUUAGAGACCGGCGCACGGGUGCGUAACGCGUAUGCAAUCUACCUUUCACAGAGGGAUAGCCCAGAGAAAUUUGGAUUAAUACCUCAUAGUAUAGUACCUUGGCAUCAAGGAACUAUUAAAGUCACAACGGUGAAAGAUGAGCAUGCGUCCCAUUAGCUAGUUGGUAAGGUAACGGCUUACCAAGGCUACGAUGGGUAGGGGUCCUGAGAGGGAGAUCCCCCACACUGGUACUGAGACACGGACCAGACUCCUACGGGAGGCAGCAGUGAGGAAUAUUGGUCAAUGGGCGCAAGCCUGAACCAGCCAUGCCGCGCGCAGGAUGACGGUCCUAUGGAUUGUAAACUGCUUUUAUACAGGAAGAAACAACUCUACGUGUAGAGUCUUGACGGUACUGUAGGAAUAAGGAUCGGCUAACUCCGUGCCAGCAGCCGCGGUAAUACGGAGGAUCCAAGCGUUAUCCGGAAUCAUUGGGUUUAAAGGGUCCGUAGGCGGCUUAAUAAGUCAGUGGUGAAAGCCCUACGCUUAACGUAGGAACGGCCAUUGAUACUGUUAGGCUUGAAUUAUUAGGAAGUAACUAGAAUAUGUAGUGUAGCGGUGAAAUGCUUAGAGAUUACAUGGAAUACCAAUUGCGAAGGCAGGUUACUACUAAUGGAUUGACGCUGAUGGACGAAAGCGUGGGUAGCGAACAGGAUUAGAUACCCUGGUAGUCCACGCCGUAAACGAUGGAUACUAGCUGUUGGGAGCAAUCUCAGUGGCUAAGCGAAAGUGAUAAGUAUCCCACCUGGGGAGUACGUUCGCAAGAAUG